GUGGGGAAUCUUGCGCAAUGGGCGAAAGCCUGACGCAGCCAUGCCGCGUGAAUGAUGAAGGUCUUAGGAUUGUAAAAUUCUUUCACCGGGGACGAUAAUGACGGUACCCGGAGAAGAAGCCCCGGCUAACUUCGUGCCAGCAGCCGCGGUAAUACGAAGGGGGCUAGCGUUGCUCGGAAUUACUGGGCGUAAAGGGCGCGUAGGCGGACAGGUUAGUCAGAGGUGAAAGCCCAGGGCUCAACCUUGGAAUUGCCUUUGAUACUGGCUGUCUUGAGUACGGGAGAGGUGAGUGGAACUCCGAGUGUAGAGGUGAAAUUCGUAGAUAUUCGGAAGAACACCAGUGGCGAAGGCGACUCACUGGCCCGUUACUGACGCUGAGGCGCGAAAGCGUGGGGAGCAAACAGGAUUAGAUACCCUUGUAGUCC
Molecule: ribosomal RNA, 425 nt
Filed under: uncultured bacterium
Lineage: Bacteria
Description: partial 16S ribosomal RNA
Rfam family: Bacterial small subunit ribosomal RNA
Source: RNAcentral